AGUGGCGGACGGGUGAGUAACGCGUAAGAAUCUAACUUCAGGACGGGGACAACAGUGGGAAACGACUGCUAAUACCCGAUGUGCCGCGAGGUGAAACCUAAUUGGCCUGAAGAAGAGCUUGCGUCUGAUUAGCUAGUUGGUGGGGUAAGAGCCUACCAAGGCGACGAUCAGUAGCUGGUCUGAGAGGAUGAGCAGCCACACUGGGACUGAGACACGGCCCAGACUCCUACGGGAGGCAGCAGUGGGGAAUUUUCCGCAAUGGGCGAAAGCCUGACGGAGCAACGCCGCGUGAGGGAGGAAGGUCUUUGGAUUGUAAACCUCUUUUCUCAAGGAAGAAGUUCUGACGGUACUUGAGGAAUAAGCCUCGGCUAACUCCGUGCCAGCAGCCGCGGUAAUACGGGGGAGGCAAGCGUUAUCCGGAAUUAUUGGGCGUAAAGCGUCCGCAGGUGGUCAGCCAAGUCUGCCGUCAAAUCAGGUUGCUUAACGACCUAAAGGCGGUGGAAACUGGCAGACUAGAGAGCAGUAGGGGUAGCAGGAAUUCCCAGUGUAGCGGUGAAAUGCGUAGAGAUUGGGAAGAACAUCGGUGGCGAAAGCGUGCUACUGGGCUGUAUCUGACACUCAGGGACGAAAGCUAGGGGAGCGAAAGGGAUUAGAUACCCCUGUAGUCCUAGCCGUAAACGAUGGAUACUAGGCGUGGCUU
This 700-nucleotide ribosomal RNA is filed under the name uncultured bacterium. RNAcentral's name for it is "bacterial SSU rRNA". It matches the Rfam family "Bacterial small subunit ribosomal RNA", at positions 94 to 828 of the family's 1533-position model. The record is from RNAcentral.